CCUACGGGCGGCACCAGUAGGGAAUCUUCGGCAAUGGACGAAAGUCUGACCGAGCAACGCCGCGUGAGUGAAGAAGGUUUUCGGAUCGUAAAACUCUGUUGUUAGAGAAGAACAAGUAGGAGAGUAACUGCUCUUACCUUGACGGUAUCUAACCAGAAAGCCACGGCUAACUACGUGCAGCUGCCGCGGUAAUACGUAGGUGGCAAGCGUUGUCCGGAUUUAUUGGGCGUAGAGCGAGCGCAGGCGGUCUUUAAAGUCUGAUGUGAAAGCCCUCGGCUCAACCGAGGAAGGUCAUUGGAAACUGGAGGACUUGAGUGCAGAAGAGGAGAGUGGAAUUCCAUGUGUAGCGGUGAAAUGCGUAGAUAUAUGGAGGAACACCAGUGGCGAAGGCGACUCUCUGGUCUGUAACUGACGCUGAGGCUCGAAAGCGUGGGGAGCAAACAGGAUUAGAUACCCCAGUAGUC
RNAcentral lists this ribosomal RNA (464 nucleotides) under uncultured bacterium. RNAcentral's name for it is "bacterial SSU rRNA". It matches the Rfam family "Bacterial small subunit ribosomal RNA", at positions 338 to 795 of the family's 1533-position model. The record is from RNAcentral.